CGUCUCUCCAAUCAACGAAAGUUCGCUGCUCUGUCUCUCCCUCAACUGCUCCGGCCAGCGAGCUCCAGGCAAUCAACAUCAGCAGCCGGCGAGGAGAGCAACAACAUCUCCGGCCAACUGACCCCGACCUCGAUCCACUGCCCUUCUCCUUUACUUGAAGGCAACUGAGGAAGCUCAACAUCUAAAAAAGUUGAUACAAGACUAUAUUGCUUCUUUCAUCAAAGUAGGAGAUAAGGAAAAAGAAUUGGGAUGCACUCCCAUUGAACCAGAGGUUUUCAAAAAGACUCAUGUCAGGAAGAAAGAAAAUGAGUCGGAUCCGGAUGUGUGGGUGGAGGAAAGGGUCGAACGAACUUUUAAUGACUUUUAUAAGUACGUCGCUGAGAAUCUAGAUAGUUCGGUUCAAUUGACACCUGAACUGUCCACUCAGAUUUGGAAAGAAAAAGUGGUAGGGGGGACACAUAAGGGUAGAUGCUAUGGUCUAGGCUCUCGCAACGAUGUUAGAUGCCUUCAGUCAGGCUUAGAAAGUAUUGGAUCGUCACGUCAAGCUGAGGCACUUGACGGUGUUCAGAUUGUUGCUAUGUCGGAUCAAAUAGCUAAACUUACAGUGGCACUAAAAGAGUCAGAGUGGAAAAGAGUAGCUGAACAACAAAGCAUGAGUGAGACCAUUCAGCAAAUCAAAGAACAAGUGAUGAACCUCGCUCGUCGACCUACUACUUCGGCUCCCGAUGACACCGACGACGAGAGUGAUGAGGAUGAUUAUGUAGAUCUCACUCCCUAGUUUAGAUCUCUGGACAUUUAUGAACUUUUCAAAAUUUUAAAAAGAAUUUUAAAAGACUUUA
Molecule: long non-coding RNA, 839 nt
Organism: Solanum stenotomum
Lineage: Eukaryota; Viridiplantae; Streptophyta; Magnoliopsida; Solanales; Solanaceae
Exons: 4
Source: RefSeq, a predicted model, not a curated record